This 75-nucleotide transfer RNA is filed under the name Oxynema mangrovii CENA135. RNAcentral's name for it is "tRNA-Leu". It matches the Rfam family "tRNA". Rfam says of the family: Transfer RNA (tRNA) molecules are approximately 80 nucleotides in length. Their secondary structure includes four short double-helical elements and three loops (D, anti-codon, and T loops). Further hydrogen bonds mediate the characteristic L-shaped molecular structure. tRNAs have two regions of fundamental functional importance: the anti-codon, which is responsible for specific mRNA codon recognition, and the 3' end, to which the tRNAs corresponding amino acid is attached (by aminoacyl-tRNA synthetases). tRNAs cope with the degeneracy of the genetic code in two manners: having more than one tRNA (with a specific anti-codon) for a particular amino acid; and 'wobble' base-pairing, i.e. permitting non-standard base-pairing at the 3rd anti-codon position. RNAcentral also lists the same sequence under 2 other names. The record is from RNAcentral. Lineage: Bacteria; Bacillati; Cyanobacteriota; Cyanophyceae; Oscillatoriales; Oscillatoriaceae.
GCUCUCGUGGCGGAAGUGGAAGACGCGCCAGACUAAGGAUCUGGUUUUUUGCAGGUUCGAGUCCUGCCGGGAGUA